AAAUUCUAAUGUAAACUUAAAUGUUAAUCUGCAGAGGUACAGCUCUGCAGAAUAAGAAUACAACCUUAACUAGUGAGUAAAUUUAUUUAAUAACCAUAGUUGGCCUAAAAGCAGCCACCAAUUAAGAAAGCGUUCAAGCUCAACAAUAAAAUUUAUAUUUAAUACAAAAAAAAAUAACAUAAACUCCUAGUAUAACCACUGGAUUAUUCUACUUGUCCGUAGAAGAGAUACUGUUAAAAUGAGUAACAAGAUUUAUAUCUCCAUACACACGUGUAUAUCAGACCGAAUCCCAACUGAUAGUUAACAAUUAAAUAAACCUAUAUAUUAAUUAACAAUUUAUUAUCAUUAUAUUGUUAACCCAACACCGGAGUGUACAUAAGGAAAGAUUAAAAAAAGUAAAAGGAACUCGGCAAACAUAAACCCCGCCUGUUUACCAAAAACAUCACCUCUAGCAUCACUAGUAUUAGAGGCACUGCCUGCCCAGUGACAUUAGUUAAACGGCCGCGGUAUCCUGACCGUGCAAAGGUAGCAUAAUCAUUUGUUCCUUAAUUAGGGACCUGUAUGAAUGGCCCCACGAGGGUUUAACUGUCUCUUACUUUUAAUCAGUGAAAUUGACCUUCCCGUGAAGAGGCGGGAAUAUAAAAAUAAGACGAGAAGACCCUAUGGAGCUUAAAUUUAAGUGUUCAACAAAAUCUUAACUCAAUCCUACAGGAAUAAUAACAUUUUAACUGAACAAUAAAUUUCGGUUGGGGUGACCUCGGAGCAUAAAAAACCCUCCGAGCAAUUUAACUUAGACUUACCAGUCAAAGUAAUAUAAUCUAUUGAUCCAAUCAUAUUGAUCAACGAAACAAGUUACCCUAGGGAUAACAGCGCAAUCCUAUUUAAGAGUCCAUAUCGACAAUAGGGUUUACGACCUCGAUGUUGGAUCAGGACAUCCAAAUGGUGUAGCAGCUAUUAAAGGUUCGUUU
RNAcentral lists this ribosomal RNA (968 nucleotides) under Crocidura foetida. RNAcentral describes it as "partial 16S ribosomal RNA". It matches the Rfam family "Bacterial large subunit ribosomal RNA", at positions 961 to 2578 of the family's 2925-position model. The record is from RNAcentral. Lineage: Eukaryota; Metazoa; Chordata; Mammalia; Eulipotyphla; Soricidae.